This 301-nucleotide ribosomal RNA is filed under the name uncultured bacterium. Its description in RNAcentral is "partial 16S ribosomal RNA". It matches the Rfam family "Bacterial small subunit ribosomal RNA", at positions 509 to 808 of the family's 1533-position model. The record is from RNAcentral.
CAGUAGCCGCGGUAAUACAGAGGGUGCGAGCGUUAAUCGGAUUUACUGGGCGUAAAGCGUGCGUAGGCGGCUUCUUAAGUCGGAUGUGAAAUCCCUGAGCUUAACUUAGGAAUUGCAUUCGAUACUGGGAAGCUAGAGUAUGGGAGAGGAUGGUAGAAUUCCAGGUGUAGCGGUGAAAUGCGUAGAGAUCUGGAUGAAUACCGAUGGCGAAGGCAGCCAUCUGGCCUAAUACUGACGCUGAGGUACGAAAGCAUGGGGAGCAAACAGGAUUAGAGACCCCAGAGUCCCUGUCUCUUAUACA